CCCAGGUCCCAGCUGCACAUGCCGAAGAAAUCAAAGGUUUUAUACCGAAUCCCCUCACUGCAGCUGUAUGUGUGAUAAAACUGCAAUCCUGUUUUACACCAGCUCCUACUCCAUGGGGACAGACAUGAUGGGAACUAGUACAUCUCCUGACACUACUCAAGAACUUUCUAACACAGGGGACUGUCUUUGCAGUUUGCAAGGAAACGUCCAGGGGGCCCAGGGCAAUUCUCCUCCCCCUGGAGUGAGCCUACAGCAGACCUGACCCUGACAUCUGCAGCUGUAACUCUCCUGACUGCCUGAUGCUAAAACAGUCUGGAGGUGAAGUGGAACAACUGGACACCAGUUUUAACUGCCUUUUAUUGUGCCACCAGCUGUCAAGAUUACGACCUGGGAAACAAAUAAAAGGACUUCAAGCAACACCUACGUCAAACUUGGCUUGUGACACUUACAUGUGGAUAACAUACUUAUCACAGAAAACAGCUGGACAAGUAUUUCCAAAAACCUCUUGGUCUUUAUACUCACAAUCUUUCAAUCUAUUAUACAAGCAAAUCAAAAUAUACAGUCAAGUUAGUCAAUGGUAAUAAUGUACUCUCAGUUACAGUUUUCUGUAUAUAGUAUAUAACUAUAAGGGAAGGUAUAGAGGUUGGAUCAUCAUGAUCAUCACUCUUGUGUUAUUAUUUAUUCAAAAUAAAUUUGUUAUAAAUAAAUCAAAUAUCAAAAGCAUACAGUUGUAUAAAGAUGAUAAAUUUCCUUUCAUCGCCCCCAUCUGAUAUGAAAAGCAUCUGAAAUGUAUUUUACGGCCAUUAUUAUGUUGGCAAGUUUUGCUAUGCAAGCGAUUUUCAGACAUGUACAUUUCUGUAUACUUCUGAGUGCUGAGGUCAAGCCUUUGGCUGAUCAAAAGAGCCUCUAGCAGAUAUUGGGACAUUGUAGAUUGAAAUUCGAUAACCAUCAUUGUAUCAGUUAGAUUUGGGUGAUAUUCUUUCUAUUACCUAACUAACAGGUGUGCUUAUGAUAGAAAGCAAAACAGCGUCAGGUAAUGGCAGGUAUACUGGUGUUUCUUUAUUGGAUUUGCGGGCAUGAAAGGUGCGUAUUUGAACACCAAAUCUAGUGAGUGUGGUGAGUAAAAAAAUGCCUGGACUGAAAUAGACUAUCAUCUCCUCACACAAAAUGUGUAGAGUGUAACUGUAAGAAAUGCAGGACUGUAAAUGUAAUACUGUAUCAUCUCCACACACCAAAUGUGUAGAGUAUAACUGAACUGAACUGAUAACUAAGA
Branchiostoma floridae (Florida lancelet) is the source of this 1273-nucleotide long non-coding RNA. RefSeq lists it as uncharacterized. The record is from RefSeq and is a predicted model, not a curated record. The transcript is spliced from 3 exons. Lineage: Eukaryota; Metazoa; Chordata; Leptocardii; Amphioxiformes; Branchiostomatidae.